Molecule: long non-coding RNA, 1158 nt
Organism: Cyprinus carpio carpio
Lineage: Eukaryota; Metazoa; Chordata; Actinopteri; Cypriniformes; Cyprinidae
Source: Ensembl
GGCAAAAGUCUUUAAUAGUUAGUUAAUAGUGAGAAUUGAACCAUAAACAUGUAUUUUUAAAAACAUUUUAGAAACACUCACAAUUAAUGCAAUCGAUGUCUAAUAGUUCAAAGCACUUAAUUAGCAGCAGUUUAGUAUUUUCCGUGACCUAAUCUAGGAACUAGAUCUGAGAACCAUUUACUCCUGAUAACCAUGAACAACUCUGAUACUACUGGUUUAAAAAUAUCAACAUCAGUUAGGUACGUUUAACAAGCUGUAAACAACGGAUAAAGAUAACUCUUUACAUAUUAAACAAUAAUAAUUUGUAAAUUACAGUGGAAAUGGAUGAAGAACUCACUGUUUGUAUAUAGCCGAUUAAUGAAUAAACAAUUUAGAGAUUAUAAACAAUGGAUUCCUAUAAAUUAAUAGUUUGAUUGAUGAGUUGAAUGAUUUAUAAGUGCUUUGUUACUGUAUACAUAAUUAUCAUAAAGUGUUACCCUGUUCUUUAUCACACCCACAUCUGUGUUCUAACAUAAUCUUCUUGCCAAUUUUGGAACUUUGUGCUGCAGUAUUGUCACUUUAGCAUGAAUUGCUGUGUUGUAGCAUUCCUCAUUUGCAGCUUGCUAAAUAAGCAUAAAUGCAAAUAUGUUUGACUUGACUGUCCUGGACUGAAUGCAUCAAAAACAAGCUUGCAGAGUCUUCUGUGGAUAAAUUAAAAGCUCAGUAACAGCAUACAGUGCAUGCAUUAUUAUUUCCUGAGUUGCUUUUAGCUAGAAUGAAAUGGCAUUUAAGAAAUAUUUUGGGACAUUUCAGUGGGUGAACCAUUGUGACACAAUUUGUGCAGUCUACAGAGCUCUGUAAGUGCUGUGGCAGCUGAAAAAGGCUGUUGCUUCAGUCAGCAUCCUGGUAAGGGCUUUUUAUAAGGGCUGUCUGUUCUUGUUCUCUAUAGUAUUUCCUCAUUUCUCAUUGGUUAUCACUGGCCAGAUAGUGUCUGGUGACCUUGAUGGUCAUUUGAAGAUGGACGGGCAACAAUCUCAGUAUCAAUCAUUUAAGAAGCUGUCAGUUCUGACAUACUAUCUCCAUGGAAAAUCGCCAGAUGUCUUUUCUAGACCGAGAAUGGACAAGUGCAGUUGCACUGAUGUGUCCAAACUCUCAUCCCUAUAUCCUUAUCUUCUGUAA